Molecule: long non-coding RNA, 505 nt
Filed under: Manacus vitellinus (golden-collared manakin)
Lineage: Eukaryota; Metazoa; Chordata; Aves; Passeriformes; Pipridae
Description: lncRNA (ENSMVIG00005018754.1)
Source: RNAcentral
CCUCAGAUACACCUGGGUAUAGAGCUGGACAUAAAUAAGGUCAUAAAUGAAAAGUUACUUCUGAUCCCUCAAGCUAUUUUAUGUCUGCAGAGUGCAAAACCAGCAUUAGAACUUGUUCGGUCUCCCUCUGUUCCGGGAGAAGAGGCUAAAGAGGAGGAAAAUUACAACAACCCUCCGUCUGUUGCUGCACCACAGCCUGGACAACCUGAAUCAAGUGCAAAACCAGCAUUAGAACUUGUUCGGUCUCCCUCUGUUCCGGGAGAAGAGGCUAAAGAGGAGGAAAAUUACAACAACCCUCUGUCUGUUGCUGCACCACAGCCUGGACAACCUGAAUCAAGUGCAAAACCAGCAUUAGAACUUGUUCGGUCUCCGUCUGUUCCUGGAGAAGAGGCUAAAGAGGAGGAAAAUUACAACAACCCUCCAUCUGUUGCUGCACCACAGCCUGGACAACCUGAAUCAGUAAGCACCAGCUUUGGUUGGCACUGUCUUUGGUGCAAAGCAGAGU